This is a small nucleolar RNA of Zophobas morio, 141 nucleotides long. RefSeq annotates it as small nucleolar RNA SNORA57. The record is from RefSeq and is a predicted model, not a curated record. Lineage: Eukaryota; Metazoa; Arthropoda; Insecta; Coleoptera; Tenebrionidae. The transcript has a single exon.
CCUUCCUUUUUUGGCAUGCCUCUGCGUCGACCAAUCAGCAGAGCAUGAAUGCUGAAGGAAGGAAAAUUACAGUUUGGGAAAUAUGCCUUCGGUGUCCACACGAUUCUUGUCUGGAUCCCAUCCUCAAGUUUCCCCACAUCG